GAUGAACGCUGGCGGCGUGCCUAAUACAUGCAAGUCGAGCGAACGGACGAGAAGCUUGCUUCUCUGAUGUUAGCGGCGGACGGGUGAGUAACACGUGGAUAACCUACCUAUAAGACUGGGAUAACUUCGGGAAACCGUAGCUAAUACCGGAUAAUAUUUUGAACCGCAUGGUUCAAAAGUGAAAGACGGUCUUGCUGUCACUUAUAGAUGGAUCCGCGCUGCAUUAGCUAGUUGGUAAGGUAACGGCUUACCAAGGCAACGAUGCAUAGCCGACCUGAGAGGGUGAUCGGCCACACUGGAACUGAGACACGGUCCAGACUCCUACGGGAGGCAGCAGUAGGGAAUCUUCCGCAAAGGGCGAAAGCCUGACGGAGCAACGCCGCGUGAGUGAUGAAGGUCUUCGGAUCGUAAAACUCUGUUAUUAGGGAAGAACAUAUGCGUAAGUAACUGUGCACAUCUUGACGGUACCUAAUCAGAAAGCCACGGCUAACUACGUG
RNAcentral lists this ribosomal RNA (497 nucleotides) under uncultured bacterium. Its description in RNAcentral is "partial 16S ribosomal RNA". It matches the Rfam family "Bacterial small subunit ribosomal RNA", at positions 28 to 507 of the family's 1533-position model. The record is from RNAcentral.